AUGGCUGUUGUGUUGAGGUAUGUUGAUAAGCUUGGGUUAAUCCUAGAACGACUAGUUGGGGUAGUACAUGUGAAGGAAACAUCGACAACGUGUCUCAAGUCAGCCCUUGAGAAAUUGCUUGUUGAUAUUGGAUUAAGCUUCAAACAAGUUAGAGGGCAAUGCUAUGACGGGGCGAGCAAUAUGAGGGGUGAGUUCAAUGGUUUGAAAGCUAAAAUUCUGGAAGAGAAUAGGUCAGCAUAUUACGUGCAUUGUUUUGCUCACCAAAUCCAAUUGGUUAUCGUAGCGAUUUCAAAGAAGAAUGAAGAUAUUGCAGAUUUCUUUUACAUGAUUUCUCUUCUAUUUAAUGUGGUUGGAGCUUCUUGCAAAAGAAAAGACAUGAUCAGAGAGACUAAUAGAGAGAAUGUAAAAAAAGCCAUAAGUGUUGGGCGAAUUAGUACCGGCACAGGGUUGAAUCAAGAUCAAUCACUUCAAAGGGCGGGUCUUGCUAAAAAGUUGGUGGAUACUAAGAAGCAUCUUGCUUUCCCUUUGGUGUAUCAACUUCUAAAGCUAGUGCUAAUUUUGCCGGUUGCCACAGCGUCAGUGGAGAGAUGCUUUUCAGCAAUGAAUAUUGUGAAGAGUGUUUUACGCAACAAAAUGGGUGACCAGUUCAUGAGUGAUUGCUUGAUUUGCUAUGUGGAGAAAGAUAUAUUUGCUACCAUUACGAAUGACGCCGUAAUUGAUCUAUUUAAGAAGAUGGGAGAUCGAGAAGGCAAGUUAUAA
Molecule: ribosomal RNA, 759 nt
Filed under: Triticum aestivum (bread wheat)
Lineage: Eukaryota; Viridiplantae; Streptophyta; Magnoliopsida; Poales; Poaceae
Description: partial small subunit ribosomal RNA
Source: RNAcentral